This is a long non-coding RNA of Labeo rohita (rohu), 254 nucleotides long. RefSeq lists it as uncharacterized. The record is from RefSeq and is a predicted model, not a curated record. NCBI's taxonomy places the organism in Eukaryota, Metazoa, Chordata, Actinopteri, Cypriniformes, Cyprinidae. The transcript has 3 exons.
CAACUGUAUUUGCAUCGAAGCUUGUAUUGAUGUUCAUUUUGUGCAACCAAUGUUUUUAAAAGAUGUGAAAGACACAAGAUGUUUGGACAUUUGCAGCGUCACAGACUUCGCGCAGUUCAUCAUGAACGUUGAUGUUUUUGCAAAAGACUGCAUUCUGUUUCCAUCAUGGAGCAAGUCACACUGGAUGGUGAGGGUUGCUCAGACCAUUUUUCCUAGACAUUGGACGGAGUUAUCCUGUAAAGAUCUUCCAGUAA